This 423-nucleotide ribosomal RNA is filed under the name uncultured bacterium. RNAcentral describes it as "bacterial SSU rRNA". It matches the Rfam family "Bacterial small subunit ribosomal RNA", at positions 396 to 814 of the family's 1533-position model. The record is from RNAcentral.
GCCGCGUGGAUGAUGAAGGCUUCGGGUCGUAAAAUCCUGUCAGGUGGAAAGAAAUGUAUGUUGGUUAAUACCCUUCAUAUUUGACGGUACCACCAAAGGAAGCACCGGCUAACUCCGUGCCAGCAGCCGCGGUAAUACGGAGGGUGCAAGCGUUGUUCGGAAUUACUGGGCGUAAAGCGCGCGUAGGCGGUUUGUUAAGUCAGAUGUGAAAGUCCACGGCUCAACCGUGGAAGUGCAUUUGAAACUGGNAGACUUGAGUACUGGAGGGGGUGGUGGAAUUCCCGGUGUAGAGGUGAAAUUCGUAGAUAUCGGGAGGAAUACCGGUGGCGAAGCGACCACCUGGCCAGAUACUGACGCUGAGGUGCGAAACGUGGGGAGCAAACAGGAUUAGAUACCCUGGUAGUCCACGCCGUAACGAUGUCA